RNAcentral lists this ribosomal RNA (440 nucleotides) under uncultured Leptolinea sp. RNAcentral's name for it is "bacterial SSU rRNA". It matches the Rfam family "Bacterial small subunit ribosomal RNA", at positions 338 to 795 of the family's 1533-position model. Lineage: Bacteria; Bacillati; Chloroflexota; Anaerolineae; Anaerolineales; Anaerolineaceae. The record is from RNAcentral.
CCUACGGGAGGCUGCAGUAGGGAAUAUUGGUAAUCUGGGAAACCGGGAACCAGCAACGCCGCGUGCACGAUGAAGGCCUUCGGGUCGUAAAGUGCUUUUUGAAGGGAUGAGGAAGGACAGUACCUUCAGAAUAAGCCUCGGCUAACUACGUGCCAGCAGCCGCGGUAAAACGUAGGAGGCGAGCGUUAUCCGGAUUUACUGGGCGUAAAGCGUGUGUAGGCGGUUUGAUAAGUUGGAUGUGAAAGCUCCCGGCUCAACUGGGAGAGGUCGUUCAAAACUAUCAGACUAGAGAGUGGUAGAGGGAGGUGGAAUUCCGCGUGUAGUGGUGAAAUGCGUAGAUAUGCGGAGGAACACCAGUGGCGAAAGCGGCCUCCUGGCCCAUUUCUGACGCUCAGACACGAAAGCUAGGGUAGCAAACGGGCUUAGAUACCCUAGUAGUC